AUUUUUUUUUCCAAUUUAGUGCAGUGUGGAGUUUUGGGGAGAUACCUGUUUAUAUCACUUUUAGCAUUUUGUCCUUAGCUCCAAGGACAUCACAGGUAAAGGAGCCUGCUUAUCGUCAGCUGGGGAUUGAUCCUCAAUCUAUAGCUGAUCUCUGGGAUCUAAGCUGGGCCAUAAGAGAUCCAGACUCUUAUCUUUUAUCCAAUUUAAGGUAACCUUGGCCUUAGGUUCUACUGCCUCUUUCAGGCCUAAUCAAACAGCAGACCUCAGGUCAUCUCCUUGCUCUUCCAAAGAAAUCUCAAGAUAAAAAGCAAAUAAAGCAGAAAAGAUCCUACACAAAGUAAGGGAAAAUCAAAAUCUUUAACCUCUAUGUUAUUCUUGCCUCAGUGGAGAAAAUAGUAACUCCUACUAUAGUUAGUGUAUGUAGUUAACAGUCUGGAAAAACUUGUUUUAUCCAGGCAUGGUGGUGCAAGUUCAAGGCCAGCCUGGGAAACUUAGUGAGAUCCUGUCUUAGAUUAAAAUUUUUAAAAAGGGUCUGGGGAUGUGCCUCAGUGGUAGAUGUAGGGGUUGCCUUGGGUUCAUUUCCCAAGACAACAAAAUAUAAACAAGUAAUACUCAAAAAUGUCUCUUAAUUUCUCUCCUUUUUAGGGAAUUUUGAACAUAUUCUGAUUUGUAGAGCGUUUGGAAAAAACUAAGUCACAAUUUAUUUUUUUAUCUCGGAAGAAAACUAUCAGAAUUCAAGUUCUCGGGGCAUCAACUGUGUUCACUGAUCUCUGAACUUGUACCACCAAGCACAAAGCCUGGUGUGCCGCGGCUACUCAGUAAGUGACUGUCUGAAGAUGUCUGCUUUUGUCCAAAUAACUUAUCUCCUCAGCGUCAUAAUCAGGCCAGAAGCGUGAAAACCUCCGCACUUCAAGCACAUCGCCAGUCCACAGCUAGCCGCAUUCUCGGCCUUCGCCUUCCUCACGCAAAAGAUCUGCUUUCAACGCCUUUUCUUUUUCCCAUUAUUAAUUCUAUUUUCUCUCCAUUUGUCUAUGCAUAUGCUUAAUGACAUGGUCUUUUCUGUGCUGUAAAAAAUAAGUGAAUAAAUAAACAAAAAUCAAUAUUGAACUGUAGCU
This 1115-nucleotide long non-coding RNA is filed under the name Chinchilla lanigera (long-tailed chinchilla). RNAcentral's name for it is "lncRNA (ENSCLAG00000024000.1)". Lineage: Eukaryota; Metazoa; Chordata; Mammalia; Rodentia; Chinchillidae. The record is from RNAcentral.